Molecule: ribosomal RNA, 346 nt
Filed under: uncultured Fusarium
Lineage: Eukaryota; Fungi; Ascomycota; Sordariomycetes; Hypocreales; Nectriaceae
Description: SSU rRNA
Rfam family: Eukaryotic small subunit ribosomal RNA
Source: RNAcentral
GUAGUCAUAUGCUUGUCUCAAAGAUUAAGCCAUGCAUGUCUAAGUAUAAGCAAUUAUACCGCGAAACUGCGAAUGGCUCAUUAUAUAAGUUAUCGUUUAUUUGAUAGUACCUUACUACUUGGAUAACCGUGGUAAUUCUAGAGCUAAUACAUGCUAAAAAUCCCGACUUCGGAAGGGAUGUAUUUAUUAGAUUAAAAACCAAUGCCCUCCGGGGCUCACUGGUGAUUCAUGAUAACUUCUCGAAUCGCAUGGCCUUGCGCCAGCGAUGGUUCAUUCAAAUUUCUUCCCUAUCAACUUUCGAUGUUUGGGUAUUGGCCAAACAUGGUUGCAACGGGUAACGGGGAAU